GCGCCCGUAGCUCAGUGGGUAGAGCUAUGGAACGGUGAUCCACAGUCCGGUUCAAGUCGGCGGUCGCU
Phthorimaea operculella (potato tuberworm) is the source of this 68-nucleotide non-coding RNA. NCBI's taxonomy places the organism in Eukaryota, Metazoa, Arthropoda, Insecta, Lepidoptera, Gelechiidae. The record is from the annotation of a GenBank genome assembly.